Molecule: ribosomal RNA, 528 nt
Filed under: uncultured bacterium
Lineage: Bacteria
Description: partial 16S ribosomal RNA
Rfam family: Bacterial small subunit ribosomal RNA
Source: RNAcentral
UGGGGAAUUUUGGACAAUGGGCGAAAGCCUGAUCCAGCAAUGCCGCGUGUGUGAAGAAGGCCUUCGGGUUGUAAAGCACUUUUGUCCGGAAAGAAAUCCUUGGCUCUAAUACAGUCGGGGGGAUGACGGUACCGGAAGAAUAAGCACCGGCUAACUACGUGCCAGCAGCCGCGGUAAUACGUAGGGUGCAAGCGUUAAUCGGAAUUACUGGGCGUAAAGCGUGCGCAGGCGGUUUGCUAAGACCGAUGUGAAAUCCCCGGGCUCAACCUGGGAACUGCAUUGGUGACUGGCAGGCUAGAGUAUGGCAGAGGGGGGUGGAAUUCCACGUGUAGCAGUGAAAUGCGUAGAGAUGUGGAGGAAUACCGAUGGCGAAGGCAGCCCCCUGGGCCAAUACUGACGCUCAUGCACGAAAGCGUGGGGGAGCAAACAGGAUUAGAUACCCUGGUAGUCCACGCCCUAAACGAUGUNAACUAGUUGUUGGGGAUUCAUUUCCUUAGUAACGUAGCUAACGCGUGAAGUUGACCGCCU